Molecule: ribosomal RNA, 473 nt
Filed under: Streptococcus sp. oral taxon 058
Lineage: Bacteria; Bacillati; Bacillota; Bacilli; Lactobacillales; Streptococcaceae
Description: bacterial SSU rRNA
Rfam family: Bacterial small subunit ribosomal RNA
Source: RNAcentral
GACGAACGCUGGCGGCGUGCCUAAUACAUGCAAGUAGAACGCUGAAGGAGGAGCUUGCUUCUCUGGAUGAGUUGCGAACGGGUGAGUAACGCGUAGGUAACCUGCCUGGUAGCGGGGGAUAACUAUUGGAAACGAUAGCUAAUACCGCAUAAAGUUGAUUAUUGCAUGAUAGUCAAUUAAAAGGUGCAAUUGCAUCACUACCAGAUGGACCUGCGUUGUAUUAGCUAGUUGGUGAGGUAACGGCUCACCAAGGCAACGAUACAUAGCCGACCUGAGAGGGUGAUCGGCCACACUGGGACUGAGACACGGCCCAGACUCCUACGGGAGGCAGCAGUAGGGAAUCUUCGGCAAUGGACGGAAGUCUGACCGAGCAACGCCGCGUGAGUGAAGCAAGGUUUUCGGAUCGUAAAGCUCUGUUGUAAGAGAAGAACGAGUGUGAGAGUGGAAAGUUCACACUGUGACGGUAUCUACCA